AGUGAACGCUGGCGGCGUGCCUAAUACAUGCAAGUCGAACGGAGUGGCGCACGGGUGAGUAAUAUAUAGCUAAUCUGCCCCUUGCUGGAGGACAACAGUUAGAAAUGACUGCUAAUACUCCAUAGCAAGGGAUGAGACUAUAUCGUAUCAGCUAGUCGGUGGGGUAACGGCCUACCGAGGCUAUGACGCGUAACUGGUCUGAGAGGAUGAUCAGCCACUUUGGAACUUAGACACGGUCGAAGCUCCGACGGGAGGCAGCAGUAGGGAAGAGUGCGCAAGGGGGGAAACCCUGACGCAGCAACGCCGCGUGGAGGUUGAAACUUUUCGGGGCGUAAACUCCGUUUGUUAGGGAAGCGGUACCUAACGAAUAAGCACCGGCUAACUCCGUGCCAGCCGCCGCGGUAAUAC
Molecule: ribosomal RNA, 408 nt
Filed under: uncultured bacterium
Lineage: Bacteria
Description: partial 16S ribosomal RNA
Rfam family: Bacterial small subunit ribosomal RNA
Source: RNAcentral